This is a long non-coding RNA of Quercus lobata, 1841 nucleotides long. RefSeq lists it as uncharacterized. Lineage: Eukaryota; Viridiplantae; Streptophyta; Magnoliopsida; Fagales; Fagaceae. The record is from RefSeq and is a predicted model, not a curated record. The transcript is spliced from 5 exons.
UUGUAAUUUUAUUAAAAUCCCCAAUUGCUAACCACGGCAAAAAGGAUGUUCCAUGUAAAUGCUUGAUUUUUUUCCAUGACUCCCAUCUCCUAGAAGUAUUAGGUUCACCGUAAAAACCUGUAAGAUGCCACUAACCAAUACCAUCCUCCCCAUCAAUUCAUGCAUCAAUAUUUGAAUGAGAAUAAGUUUGAAUAUCAAGCCUAAUCUAUUUUUUCCAAAAUAAACCUAAACCACCACUACUUCCCUUACUAAAUGUGCCACCAUCAUCCGUUUUUCUUCAUGCUGCCACUCUCUAAUACGCAAACCCAAAUCGUGAGAUAGAGUUCGUAAGAGGGAUAAUCGUUUCGGUACAAAUCAAAAGAAAAAAGACUGGGAUAGAGAGAGGGAGUUCACUAAGAGACAGAGUUUGUACGGUGUUAAGAGAGAAAUAUCUAAGUUCCACCGUUAUGGUCAGUUUUUCCGCCGCCAUCCGUUCCCUCGCCAGACUCAGAACACCGAAACUGCAGGCACACACAGGAAUUGAGAUUGAGGAAGAGAAAUUUAAGUUUCAUUAACUCCGUCGAUCUGGCCAUUUACCUGCCAUCAUCAGAUCGCCGAAACUACCACCGGGUCAGCGAGUUUUUUUGGUCCAGCAUAUAGAGAGAGAGAAAUCUGAAGGACACUGCCACUGUCAGGCCAGCCUCCUGCACCGUAAGACUAAAAAAUUUCAAUGAUGGGGGGUUAUGCAACAAUGAAAUGGGCCACAAUAGCUUUUAUUGGUAAGCUAAUAUAAUCUUGGAAUCCUACAAUAUAUGUUUCGUUGCUUGCUGCUGUGUCUAUGGUGUUACUAAAUGGGAGCUGAUAUGAAUUUUUGGGUUUCUUUGAAUGCAAAUGAAAAUUUGCAUUGUUCUAUAUAUGUUAUUUUGAUAUUCUAUAUAUUUGUUUUUAUUGCAUUCCACAUGUUCAAUGAAAUCCCUUUUAGACUUAAUUAGUGAUGAUUGGAUUCAAUUUUUGCCGCCCUCAUACCAUGAUAAAUCUAAAUGAUUUAUUCAUUUAUGAACAAUGAAUUUGAACUAAAAAUUUCGAGGAUGAAAUCUAGAAGAUAUCAACAUGGUGGAAAAAAUGAAUUAUGAAACAAAUGUGAGGCAAUUGGUAGUAUUACAUAGCAUGUACAUAUUUUUUUUCAUGGCUAUGCAAUUGAUUGGGAGGCUCUUAAACACUACCCCACAGCCCCACUACCAAAUACACAUCUAUAUCCUGGAAUCCAUGGGCCCUAACUUUGAUAAUGACCCAUGUAAAAUUUGGAUGACAAAGAAAAGAAUUUGAGUGAAUGGAAUUAUUGAAAUUUAAACUUUAGCACAAAAUCAGAGUAAAAGAAUGCUAUUAGUCUUAUUUUAUUGAUUCCUUCUUGAUGAGAAGCAAAUGUAGAAGCCACAAAAACAGUUUCAUUCUUGGUCUACACCAUUGAGAGAUCAGCAAAAUCUUAAGCAACUUGGAGUCAACAAGCCUACAGCUCUUGCUUUUAUGCUGUUUGCUUUCAUGUGGAGGGUGGCACUGACAAAUUGUUACUUUCUAAUUGGAAGAGUUAAGAGUUCCAAUAUGGAAUAUAGCACUAACGCAGAAGAUUAACCUCAAGUCGAACAGUGGACCUGUCAAGGUGAAUGGUGAUGUUUCAAUUCAUCCGAGUGAAAUAGAGCUGGCACUUCAGUGCAUCAUGGCUAGAAUAUGGCUAAUCUAACUAAAUUGUUUUUUGGUUAAAGAGAUCUUAGACUUAAUUUUCUGCUAUUGGGGAAUUUUGAACUUUUGGCAUUGUUAUUGAACCUAACUCUAUAUUACACAAUUGUCAUUUUUGUUUUUUUGAA